CGCGUAGGCGGGCCAUCAAGUCCGGGGUGAAAUCUUUCGGCUUAACCGGAAAAUUGCCUUGGAUACUGGUGGUCUUGAGGGAAGUAGGGGUCUGCGGAACUUCCGGUGGAGCGGUGAAAUGUGUUGAUAUCGGAAGGAACGCCGGUGGCGAAAGCGGCGGACUGGGCUUCUUCUGACGCUGAGGCGCGAAAGCUAGGGGAGCAAACG
RNAcentral lists this ribosomal RNA (207 nucleotides) under uncultured bacterium. RNAcentral describes it as "partial 16S ribosomal RNA". It matches the Rfam family "Bacterial small subunit ribosomal RNA", at positions 568 to 774 of the family's 1533-position model. The record is from RNAcentral.